Molecule: long non-coding RNA, 914 nt
Organism: Anas platyrhynchos (mallard)
Lineage: Eukaryota; Metazoa; Chordata; Aves; Anseriformes; Anatidae
Source: RefSeq, a predicted model, not a curated record
GGAUCAUGCUAUGCUUUCACUGUGAAAGUGUAAGAAAAAGCAGAUAGGAUGCUUGUGCAGUAAAACUGUCACUUCCUUUUGAACAGAAGCUGUUCAUCAGUUCUUGUGAAAAAAGAACAAGAUUUCUUUUCUUCUUACUCCAAGAGAUUUGGUCGGUCUCAAAAGUCAUUUACAGGAGCUAGAACGGUGCCUUCCUCUGUGUGGGCUGCCAGAACACACAGCCCCGGAUGCCAAGGAUAAAGCUUGGUCUCCUCCACACGUUGAUUCCCAGACCAGCUGGCACAGAAACUCAGUGCCUAUGGCACCUUUCUGAAAGGCAGUUGCCAAGAAGCUUGACUGGAAGACCAGUGAGCUCAAUGAAGAUCUUUGCGUUGUCUUCACUGGGCUCUGGGUCAAGUCCCCAGGCUGGGAAGCGCGGAGCCAGGCUGCGUGCGGUCCCAGCGAGCACACGGCAGGUGCUGCAGCACAGCCUGCGGCCAGGCUGCUGGCAGGGGGCUGGGGCAGCGGGCACGGGGUGGGCAUCGAACACGGACAGGGUCCUUCACUGACAUUUCAGUAUGGAGCAUCUGGCUGCGCAGAGAUGCUGGUAAAGUAAUUAAUGGGAAAGGAAAAAAAAAAAUCACAAAAAUCUCCAAGUCUGAAUUCUUGAAGUGGGGCUCUUAGUGGAUUUGCAGCACUGAUGCAUUCUUCUUAGACUGCCAUUGACAGUGUGUUCGGUUCCCAUCUGACAUCUGGCCACAUGAUAUCCAUUGUGGUAUGAAACCAGCAGAUAACACUGGCAGACAGCAAAGUCCUGUUGGAGUCUCUGGGUACGCCAGCGCAGCUCACUGCACUGGUAGGCACUCUGCAGUCCACAGGGACAGCCCCCAUUUCUGGGAAGAGCAGCCACCCUGACAUUGCUGAAGAAUGCAGUA